ACAACGAGAAAGAGAGACGCACCGAUUAUAGGAUAAGCGGCCAGAAGAGACGAGAAAAAUAAGCGGCGAGAGUUAGGGUUCUUCGUCGGCUUCGAGAGAGAAAGAACAGUUUUUUUUCUUAUUCUUUUUAGUCUUCUGCCUUUUCCUUGGCCUAUUCCGAUCUGACAUAGACACCUUUUUUGCAACAAAUGAAACAAAACUCGAGAAUGGGAUAUGAGAUUUCGAUAUAGUGGCAAAAUAACAAGACAGUAAUGAGAUUACGAGUUAGUGCCAUAGGUUUACCGUUCACUCUCUUCGUCUUCAUUAUUGUCAUCUUCAAAGCAACUCUCACCAUGAACAGAACCACAUGUGAGGACCAAG
Molecule: long non-coding RNA, 360 nt
Filed under: Capsella rubella
Lineage: Eukaryota; Viridiplantae; Streptophyta; Magnoliopsida; Brassicales; Brassicaceae
Description: long non-coding RNA (CRUB_LNC002580)
Source: RNAcentral